UACGUAGGGUGCAAGCGUUAUCCGGAAUUAUUGGGCGUAAAGAGCUCGUAGGCGGUUUGUCGCGUCUGCUGUGAAAACGCGAGGCUCAACCUCGCGCCUGCAGUGGGUACGGGCAGACUAGAGUGCGGUAGGGGAGAUUGGAAUUCCUGGUGUAGCGGUGGAAUGCGCAGAUAUCAGGAGGAACACCGAUGGCGAAGGCAGAUCUCUGGGCCGUGAACUGACGCUGAGGAGCGAAAGCGUGGGGAGCGAACAGG
RNAcentral lists this ribosomal RNA (254 nucleotides) under uncultured bacterium. Its description in RNAcentral is "partial 16S ribosomal RNA". It matches the Rfam family "Bacterial small subunit ribosomal RNA", at positions 524 to 776 of the family's 1533-position model. The record is from RNAcentral.